Oncorhynchus masou masou (cherry salmon) is the source of this 2578-nucleotide long non-coding RNA. RefSeq lists it as uncharacterized. The transcript is spliced from 2 exons. NCBI's taxonomy places the organism in Eukaryota, Metazoa, Chordata, Actinopteri, Salmoniformes, Salmonidae. The record is from RefSeq and is a predicted model, not a curated record.
CGGUUUGGAAGGGAAACACCUUACUAAGCCCGUGCUGAAACAGGUCUCGGUUUGGAAGGGAAACACCUUACUAAGCCCGUGCUGAAACAGGCCUCGGUUUGGAAGGGAAACACCUUACCAGCCCCUUGCUGAAACAGGCCUCGGUUUGGAAGGGAAACACGUUACUAAGCCCGGGCUGAAACAGGUCUCGGUUUGGAAGGGAAACACGUUACUAAGCCCGUGCUGAAACAGGUCUCGGUUUGGAAGGGAAACACCUUACCAGCCCCUUGCUGAAACAGGUCCACGGUUUGGAAGGGAAACACGUUACUAAGCCCGGGCUGAAACAGGUCUCGGUUUGGUUCUUAUAUGGCUGUUACACAGUUCCAAGCUCAAGUGACUCAUAGGCUUUUGUUUUCAACUAUUUGUCAAUAUAUCAAACACAAUGUGUCAAUAUCCUGAACUUGACAAUACAUGAAGUUUGUUUGAGUGACGUAAACCGCUUUUGCCAGCCAAAAUACCUGAACACACAGUCUCACAUACAGUUCAUGCACACCACUGCUCAGAUCCUACUUUUAUUCUGCAGAAUAUCAGUUUUUCAUGUAGAGGAGAUAAAUAGUUUGAGUCAAUUAGCAUGCCAAUGCUUGUUCAUAAUAACAUGUUCAAAGGUUUUGUAUAUUUAUAUAUUUGUAUAGAAUAUAAAGGUGGGAAUUAUUUAAAAGCUGCUCUCUGUUCAGCCAUUACAUUCCACUCCUUGACAUUCAUGUCAUUUGCCAAAGACUGGAGUGGCAAGGAGUGGAAUGCUAGCUAAAAAGACAGGAGUGGCAAUAUUGAGAUUUAGGAAGCAUUGGGCGUUAAAAGGGCCUUACUAUUACAUCAAUCUCUAUCUCGGUGACAGAAAGAGGACUUUGGCGUAACUUUUUUUUUUAAGGAAUUAAAGAUUGGGUGUUUGUUGUGGAAAGGGAGUCAGAAUGGAUGCUGGUUGGUGUGGUGAUUGAGUGAAUUUUAGUGUAUCCUAUGUCCACAGCCAGCCUUUACCAAAAAUAGUUACCUAAUCCAUUGGUAGACAACACUGGUCCUGGAGAGCAGUUUGACAUUUUACUGCUAGUAACGUAAGCAUGUUGCUGCACCCGCUAUAACAUCUGCCAAACUGUAUGUAACCAAUAAACGUUGAUAUGCAGCAGUCCUAAUCUGGACCCCUUUUUGACUCCUUGUUGUUAUGUGUUGGGAGAUCAUUUAAAAACAGACAACUACCAAGCACAGGACUUUGUGUUUACCUGGCCAUAUCAGCUCUGAAGUCUCAUCACAGACUGUCAUGCUCUAUGAUUCCCUCCGUUUAUAGCCAGAGGAGGGCAGUAAGGAGCCAUUCAAGAGCUACUGGGACUGUGGGGAGAUGGAAGAAUGUUUUGGGGAGGAUGUGGAGCCAUCAGAGGGUCUAGUCAGAAAGUGGUGUGUUACCACAAACUGCAGACUGGUGUACCUGCACUUGCUAUACUGUAGUGUUGUCCUUGGAGGCAACAUCAUUUGACUCUUUCAUAUAUAGGUCUAUACAGCAUUCAGAAAGUAUUCAGAUAUCUUUGUCAUUAUGGGGUAUUGUGUGGAUUGAUGAGGGGUAAAAACAAUUUAAUCCGUUUUAGAAUAAGGCUGUAACGUAACAAAAUGUGGAUAAAGUCAAGGGGUCUGAAUACUUUCUGAAUGCACUGUAAAUACACAGUGUACAAAACAUUAAGAACACCAUCUUACUAUUGAGUUCCACCCCCCUUUUAGCCCUCAGAACAGCCUCGAUUUGUUGGGGCGUGGACUCUACAAGGUGUCAAAAGCAUUCCACAGGGAUGCUGGCCCAUGUUGACACCAUUGCUUUCCAUAGUUGUGUCAAGUUGGCUGGAUAUUUUUUGGGUGGUGGACCAUUCUUAAUACACGUGGGAUACUGUUGUGUGAAAAACACCUCAGCGUUGCAGUUGUUGACACACACAAACCGUUGAUCCUGGUACCUACUACUGUACCCUGUUCAAAAGCACUUCAAUAUUUUCUCUACCCAUUUACCCUUUGAUUUUCUCUGCUUUUCCCCCAAAGCCGAGUGCAAUGCUCUCCACCAGUUUGGCUAUGGUUACAAUUAGCUACAAUUACUUUACCUCAAACUAGUGAAAGUAAUUAUUCUUUAAAACAUUGGAUUCAUUCUCAGACAUGGUCAAAAGGAGAAACAGUAGACGUUACGCUCUCUACAGACAGUGCAUGAUAAUGUGUGCCCUCAACACGGGUGCUCAUGGUCUACUCAGAUUUGGAUUGAUCAAGGUGUAAGGAAGUUAUGUAAUAUCAUUUAGCUAUACUAUCAUGUUAUAUUAAUAGCCAACUAACAAAUACUAAAGCAUCAAACAAGUAUUUCUCAUUUCAUUUGUUUAGCUGUUUGUUUAGAGGCAGUUGCCAUUUGGAAUAUUACGGUUUUGGUUCAUUUAAAACAAAACAAAAAUUAAAUCAUCAAUGAUAUUUACUCAGUUGAUGUAAAACAGUUUUGGAACUUUAUUUGGAUUGUAACUCUGUUUCCUUUAGGGUACAAAGUUUUGUCCUUUUUUCCAGGAAAAUAAAAGAUUUGACGCUGUCUGUA